This 496-nucleotide ribosomal RNA is filed under the name uncultured bacterium. Its description in RNAcentral is "partial 16S ribosomal RNA". It matches the Rfam family "Bacterial small subunit ribosomal RNA", at positions 355 to 861 of the family's 1533-position model. The record is from RNAcentral.
UGGGGAAUAUUGCACAAUGGGCGCAAGCCUGAUGCAGCAACGCCGCGUGAGGGAUGACGGCCUUCGGGUUGUAAACCUCUUUUAGCAGGGAAGAAGCGAAAGUGACGGUACCUGCAGAAAAAGCGCCGGCUAACUACGUGCCAGCAGCCGCGGUAAUACGUAGGGCGCAAGCGUUAUCCGGAAUUAUUGGGCGUAAAGAGCUCGUAGGCGGUUUGUCGCGUCUGCUGUGAAAUCCCGAGGCUCAACCUCGGGUCUGCAGUGGGUACGGGCAGACUAGAGUGCGGUAGGGGAGAUUGGAAUUCCUGGUGUAGCGGUGGAAUGCGCAGAUAUCAGGAGGAACACCGAUGGCGAAGGCAGAUCUCUGGGCCGUAACUGACGCUGAGGAGCGAAAGGGUGGGGAGCAAACAGGCUUAGAUACCCUGGUAGUCCACCCCGUAAACGUUGGGAACUAGUUGUGGGGUCCAUUCCACGGAUUCCGUGACGCAGCUAACGCAUU